GAAAAGGACUUUUCUUCCUAGACUUGCCAUCCCAUUGAACAGACACAGCAUUUCAAGGGUUUAAAGCUGCAUUUCAGGAUACCUCUACCCACGCCCCGGCACCAAAUAUUUCCAACAGGAGCGAGUCCAGCAGGAGGAUUGCAGUUUCCUGAAGUUCUCGGUCACGUCAAGUGCGAUACUUCAGAUUCUCUCAGCAGAUUCAUCGUGACACAAAAGGGAACCGCUGCGGCAGCUUUCCUUAGCAGCAGAUCGGUCUCUCCGACGGAUUCGCUUCGGAGAGAUAAAUGCGGAUGGAUCGACCUCCUGGCAGAGCGCCCCGUCCCAGAUGAGGGGAUCCCCCUGGGAAGGAAGUAAAGCCGGAUAGCAGCAGCGAAGGCGAAGCAUUGUGAAGGUGGUCUACUUGCAAGAUAUCCCAGCCCAGGAUGCCAGAGGACAGGUGGGUGCAAGCUCUAAGUGUGUUUUGGUGUUUAAGUCCCUGGUUUGCUGAUAAUGUUUAGUUCUCUAAGAUGGAAUGAAAGAACCGUAUCACGAAUCCCACCUUGUGGAUCCUGACACGAAUCGGUGUCACGGACAGGAUUCUGAGAGACAGAAGGGGUUGCAGAUUUGUCGUGCACUCGGUAUCGGGGGAAAGACGUUUCGCCUCAGCCGCCCCUAGCCUGCCACGCCGGUGAGCAGUGUCUAGAAAGCAAGGGAGGCGAUUCGAAUUUUUUAAAAACUGCACACGCCUAGAUGCAAAGCACCCCACACUCAUUUGAGGGCUCUGUCUUCAGAAUUUUACAAGGGAUAUUUGAAUGCAAGAGUUUGGACUGACUGAUUUUUCUGUUUAAAGUACUUGUUUGCUGAUAAUGUUUAGUUCUCUAAGACAGAAGGAAGGAACCACAUGACAAAUCCCACCUUGUGGAUCCCGACACGAAUCGGUGUCACGGACAGGAUUCUGAGAGACAGAAGGGGUUGCAGAUUUGUAGUGCACUCAGUAUCGGGGGAAAGACGUUUCGCCUCAGCCGCCCCUAGCCUGCCACGCCGGUGAGCAGUGCCUAGAAAGCAAGGGAGGCGAUUCGAAUUUUUUAAAAACUGCACACGCCUAGAUGCAAAGCACCCCACACUCGUUUGAGGGCUCUGUCUUCAGAAUUUUACAAGGGAUAUUUGAGUACAAGAGUUUGGACUGACUGAUUUUUCUGUUUAAAGUACUUGUUUGCUGAUAAUGUUUAGUUCUCUAAGAUGGAAUGAAAGAACCAGAUCACAAAUCCCACCUCGUGGAUCCCGACACAAAUCGGUGUCACGGACAGGAUUCUGAGAGACAGAAGGGGUUGCAGAUUUGUUGUGCACUCAGUCUCGGGCAAAGACGUUUCGCCUCAGCCGCCCCUAGCCUGCCACGCCGGUGAGCAGUGUCUAGAAAGCAAGGGAGGCGAUUCGAAUUUUUUAAAAACUGCACACGCCUAGAUGCAAAGCACCCCACACUCAUUUGAGGGCUCUGUCUUCAGAACUUUACAGGGGAUCUUUGAGUACGAGAGGUGGGACUGAGUGGUUUUUCUUCUGUUUAAGUCCCUGGUUGGCUGACAAGCUUUCGUAGUCCAAGAUGGAAUAAAGGAACCGCAUCAGGAAUUCCACCUUGCGGAUGGUGCCAGUCAUAUUUUCUGUUUUGUCCGAGGUUCCGUGCAGAGAGGCAGAGCCGAAGUUUGCGAUCGGCCGCACCGA
Long non-coding RNA from Poecile atricapillus (Black-capped chickadee), 1695 nucleotides. RefSeq lists it as uncharacterized. The record is from RefSeq and is a predicted model, not a curated record. The transcript is spliced from 6 exons. NCBI's taxonomy places the organism in Eukaryota, Metazoa, Chordata, Aves, Passeriformes, Paridae.